CGGGGUGUAGCUCAGACUGGUAGAGCGCGUGGUUCGGGUCCACGAGGUCGCAGGUUCGAAUCCUGUCUCCCCGACCA
This 77-nucleotide transfer RNA is filed under the name Pseudomonadota bacterium. RNAcentral's name for it is "tRNA-Pro". It matches the Rfam family "tRNA". Rfam says of the family: Transfer RNA (tRNA) molecules are approximately 80 nucleotides in length. Their secondary structure includes four short double-helical elements and three loops (D, anti-codon, and T loops). The record is from RNAcentral. Lineage: Bacteria; Pseudomonadati; Pseudomonadota. RNAcentral also lists the same sequence under 1 other name.